This 1043-nucleotide long non-coding RNA is filed under the name Homo sapiens (human). RNAcentral describes it as "non-protein coding lnc-OR4N4-1:17". The record is from RNAcentral. Lineage: Eukaryota; Metazoa; Chordata; Mammalia; Primates; Hominidae.
GUAGACAGUAACACUCUGGGAGGGCUCAAACCACAUAACCAAAUGUGCCAAGAUAAUCCUGAGCUCACUAUUGUCAGUCCUGAAGAUUUUCCUCAGAUAAUCUUUCAUCUCUUUGUUCCUGAGACUAUAUAUUAGAGGAUUACAGAGUGGUGUUAUCACAGAAAAGAACAAGGUAAUGAUUUUUUCAUUUUUACUGGGUGUGCUGAUCCAGGACUAACAUACAUCACCAUGAUAGAGCCAUAAAAUAAGGUGACAACUGCCAAAUGAGAGGCACAAGUGGAGAAAGCUUUUCGUUUGCCAGCCUCUGAAGGCAUCCGUAUUAUAGCCAGAAUCACCAGAGCAUAGGAACAAAGGAUAAAGAGAAAGGUGCCAAUUAUGAAGACAGAAUUGAAUGUGGAGUAAAUGAGCUGGGUGAUGAUGAUGUCUUCAGAACAGGACAGCAUCUUCAAUGGGACGGGAUCACAAAUAAAAUGGUUGAUAAUAUUUGGGCCACAGUAGGAUAGCUGUGAAAUGAGAAUCACCAGAGUUAGGAAGAUUACAAAGACACAUGACCAUGCAAAAAUGAUGAGGCCAGUGCAUACUUGUUUAGUCAUGAUGCAUGGAUAACGUAGAGGGCGGCAGAUGGCAAGAUACCUGUCAAAGGCCGUGAUGCAAAGGAAGAAGCCCUCAUCAUACCCCAAAGAGAAGAAGUAGAACUGUGCAAAACAACUCAUGAAUGAGAUGGACUUGCUUGUGGAGAGGAAGUUGGCCAGCAGUUUAGUUGCAGUAACAUAACAUAUUUCCAGGAGAGAGAAAUUUCCCAAGAGGGUGUACAUGGGAGUGUGAAGGUGCUGGUCCUACCACACAGCACAGACAAUGGCUGCAUUUCCCAUCGGGGUGAGAGUAUAGGCUACUGAGAAGAGACCGAAGUAGAGGAGCUGCAUUUCUGGGCUUGAGGGAAAGCCCAUGAGGAUAAGGCAGCUAACAAAAUUGAUAGUUUCCAUGCUGAACACAUUCAUUAGUCUGGAAGACAUGGAGAUGGCAGAGGUAACUGAAACAUGAAA